Molecule: non-coding RNA, 345 nt
Filed under: Pseudoselenomonas ruminantium
Lineage: Bacteria; Bacillati; Bacillota; Negativicutes; Selenomonadales; Selenomonadaceae
Description: Selenomonas ruminantium Bacterial small subunit ribosomal RNA
Rfam family: Bacterial small subunit ribosomal RNA
Source: Rfam by way of RNAcentral
GACAACCUGCCGCAAAGAUGGGGACAACAGUCCGAAAGGACUGCUAAUACCGAAUGUUGUCAGUUUCUCGCAUGAGAGACUGAUUAAAGAUGGCCUCUACUUGUAAGCUAUCGCUUUGCGAUGGGUCUGCGUCUGAUUAGCUAGUUGGUGGGGUAACGGCCUACCAAGGCGACGAUCAGUAGCCGGUCUGAGAGGAUGAACGGCCACAUUGGAACUGAGACACGGUCCAGACUCCUACGGGAGGCAGCAGUGGGGAAUCUUCCGCAAUGGGCGAAAGCCUGACGGAGCAACGCCGCGUGAGUGAAGAAGGGUUUCGGCUCGUAAAGCUCUGUUGACGGGGACGAA